UACAUCCUACGGGGCGCAGCAGUGAGGAAUAUUGGUCAAUGGGCUUACGCCUGAACCAGCCAAGUCGCGUGAGGGAAGACUGCCCUAUGGGUUGUAAACCUCUUUUGUCAGGGAGCAACGCCGGCUACGUGUAGCCGGACUGAGAGUACCUGAAGAAAAAGCAUCGGCUAACUCCGUGCCAGCAGCCGCGGUAAUACGGAGGAUGCGAGCGUUAUCCGGAUUUAUUGGGUUUAAAGGGUGCGUAGGCGGCGCUUCAGGUCAGCGGUGAAAUACCGGGGCUCAACCCCGGGGCUGCCGUUGAAACC
RNAcentral lists this ribosomal RNA (305 nucleotides) under uncultured bacterium. Its description in RNAcentral is "bacterial SSU rRNA". It matches the Rfam family "Bacterial small subunit ribosomal RNA", at positions 333 to 634 of the family's 1533-position model. The record is from RNAcentral.